Long non-coding RNA from Astatotilapia calliptera (eastern happy), 2556 nucleotides. NCBI's taxonomy places the organism in Eukaryota, Metazoa, Chordata, Actinopteri, Cichliformes, Cichlidae. The record is from Ensembl.
UUCAAAUUCUCAUUCAACUUACUCAUUUUUAAACUCUUACUACUUCCACAUACAUUGACAUAGAGCCACCAUUCAAACUUUAAAACGAAGACAAGACAUUCAAUUAUUCAACUUGUAUUUAUCUUUUCAAUAUCUAUUAUACUUUUUCUUCAGUUCCAGUUUAAGUUUCAUGAUGUUUUUUCACCCGUUUCAGAGUUUAUAAUGGGUGUGUAUGGGACGGAAUGUUGGGGCUAGAGUGAGGCAGCUCAACUGCUAGAGUGAGAGGAGCAAAAAAAUUAAUCUUAAAAUCUUUUUUAAAACUGCUGCUGUGUCCGCAGCGUUUGCUCUACAGGUAUGAUUUUACCCUCAAAACGUAGCCAUGGCUGUCCUCUUUCAUCCAAUGUGUUUACUAUUGUCCUAGGUGUUAUGGUUCUUUCAUAAAUGUCACCAAUGCACAGCCUCCUCCCUCCAACUCUUCCAUAGACUCCAAUGUUAAAAUGUCUCAGAAGGUUGGUUUGAAAAUCAGAAGAGCAUGGUGUCUUUACACUGUCACCACGUCCAUAUAAUAAACUCCACAGGCAUGAAAACUGAGAAUUCAGUAGACUAGACAUUGCUGCCGCUCACGGUGAAAGAAUUUCGUCAAUACGACCUAUACUUUUCAUUUGGGAACGAUUUGUUUCGGCCUGACGUUUCUGUUCAUUUUAAGCAGCAAAAGUGAGGUGCAUGUCUGUGUACGUGUGUAUGGAGCCAUUGGGUGCAGUCACUAUAGCAACCAGGCUCACACCUGCCUGCUUAACGAGCUCUGCCUGCCACUGUACCAAGAUUCAUCUUAAACACUUCUCUUUCAACUGCUGCUGUGUCCACAGUGUUACAGCCAUCAUUUUACCCUCAAAUUGUCGCCAUUAUUGUUCUCUUUCCAACACCGUGUCUUUCAAAGCUCAGGCAUUUAAACUUUUUAAACUGUGUGGAUCAAAGUGGAGGGAUCACAUUUUAGUCAUUCAGUGAUUCAAAGAAUAUGACCUUUUAAUAUUCAUUCAGAUGUUUUCUGACUCUAAAUGUUCUUUUCUCAUUUCUUAGGUUUUUCUAAUUUACAAUUAAAACAUUUUCAGCUUUUUUCCAACUUCUUCUUCUGUGUAACCUUCAGCUUUUAGCAGUUCAGCACCUUUGUUUUCAGGUUAAAUUCGUUUGGUUUUUUUUGUUUUUUUUUUAAUCUCAUUCAAUAUUUUUAACUCAAAAUUCAGCAAUUAAUUCAUUUCAGUGCAUACAUUCAGAUUCAAGCAUUCACACUGCAGUUUCUUCAGAAAAUGCACUUUCUAGUUAUUAUAUUUUAUCUAUUCCGUACGUUUUUUGUACUCCUACUCCUUCAAAACCGUUCAACUUAGAAAAACCAUUCAAACACCAUUAGAUUCCUAUUCUUUUGGACAUGACUGCUUCUACUUUUCUCAUUUUUAACAUUUAUAUUUUUAAUUUUAUUCAACUUUAUUCAACAAAAAUUUCCCAUGUAUUUCAAUGGGGAGACCCUUCAAAUUCUCAUUCAACUUACUCAUUUUUAAACUCCUACUACUUCCACAUACGUUGACAUAGAGCCACCAUUCAAACUUUAAAACGAAGACAAGACAUUCAACUAUUCAACUUGUAUUUAUCUUUUCAAUAUCUAUUAUACUUUUUCUUCAGUUCCAGUUUAAGUUUCAUGAUGUUUUUUCACCCGUUUCAGAGUUUAUAAUGGGUGUGUAUGGGACGGAAUGUUGGGGCUAGAGUGAGGCAGCUCAACUGCUAGAGUGAGAGGAGCAAAAAAAUUAAUCUUAAAAUAUUUUUUAAAACUGCUGCUGUGUCCGCAGCGUUUGCUCUACAGGUAUGAUUUUACCCUCAAAACGUAGCCAUCGCUGUCCUCUUUCAUCCAAUGUGUUUACUAUUGUCCUAGGUGUUAUGGUUCUUUCGUAAAUGUCACCAAUGCACAGCCUCCUCCCUCCAACUCUUCCAUAGACUCUAAUGUUAAAAUGGCUCAGAAGGUUCGUUUGAAAAUCAGAAGAGCAUGGUGUCUUUCCACUGUCACCACGUCCAUAUAAUAAGCUCCACAGGCAUGAAAACUGAGAAUUAGGUAGACUAGACAUUGCUGUCGCUCACGGUGAAAGAAUUUUGUCAAUACGACUUUUACUUUUCAUUUGGGAACGAUUUGUUUCGGCCUGACUUUUCUGUUCAUUUUAAGCAGCAAAAGUGAGGCGCAUGUCUGUGUACGUGUGUAUGGAGCCAUUGGGUGCGGUCACUAUAGCAACCAGGCUCACACCUGCCUGCUUAACGAGCUCUGCCUGCCACUCUGCCAAGAUUCAUCUUAAGCACUUCUCUUUCAACUGCUGCUGUGUCCACAGUGUUAAAGCCAUCAUUUUACCCUCAAAACGUCGCCAUCGUUGUUCUCUUUCCAACAUCUUGUCUUUCAAAGCUCAGAGAUGUCAACUUUUUAAACUGUGUGGGUCCAAGUGGAGGGAUCACAUUUUAGUCAUUCAGUGAUUCAAAGAAUAUGACCUUUUAAUAUUCUUUCAGAUGUUUUCUGACUCUAAAUGUUCUUUUCUCAUUUCUUAG